RNAcentral lists this ribosomal RNA (330 nucleotides) under uncultured bacterium. Its description in RNAcentral is "bacterial SSU rRNA". It matches the Rfam family "Bacterial small subunit ribosomal RNA", at positions 42 to 400 of the family's 1533-position model. The record is from RNAcentral.
UCAGGCCUAACACAUGCAAGUCGAACGAACCCUUCGGGGUUAGUGGCGCACGGGUGCGUAACGCGUGGGGAUCUGCCCUUUGCUUCGGAAUAACAGUUAGAAAUGACUGCUAAUACCGGAUGAUGUCGAAAGACCAAAGAUUUAUCGGCAAAGGAUGAACCCGCGUAGGAUUAGCUAGUUGGUGGGGUAAAGGCCUACCAAGGCGACGAUCCUUAGCUGGUCUGAGAGGAUGAUCAGCCACACUGGGACUGAGACACGGCCCAGACUCCUACGGGAGGCAGCAGUGGGGAAUAUUAACGGAUGGGCGAAAGCCUGAUCCAACAAUGCCGC